GAGGGACAACUAUUGAGUGCUUCAGGAAUGAGUCCUAAAACCUGGAAAGGAGUUAGCAUUUUAGCACUUCCGGUUCCCUUGUCUGGAAGUCAAUGUUUUUUUUUUUAAUUAUUUUUUAAUUACAUGCCUGAAAUGAGGUCUGUAGUUAAACAUAAGCUUAAAAGAUUUUAACGUUUUGUUCUACGACAUAAAAUACAUAAAUUAAUUUCCCACUUGUGAAUUUUGAAUCCUUUAUGUGUCUUAAAUAAAGGCGGUUG
This is a long non-coding RNA of Sebastes umbrosus (honeycomb rockfish), 257 nucleotides long. RefSeq lists it as uncharacterized. The transcript has 3 exons. NCBI's taxonomy places the organism in Eukaryota, Metazoa, Chordata, Actinopteri, Perciformes, Sebastidae. The record is from RefSeq and is a predicted model, not a curated record.